CCAUAGAAGGAGGGCCACACCCUCCCUAAGACU
Molecule: transfer RNA, 33 nt
Filed under: Camelus dromedarius (Arabian camel)
Lineage: Eukaryota; Metazoa; Chordata; Mammalia; Artiodactyla; Camelidae
Description: partial tRNA-Thr
Source: RNAcentral